This 443-nucleotide ribosomal RNA is filed under the name uncultured bacterium. Its description in RNAcentral is "partial 16S ribosomal RNA". It matches the Rfam family "Bacterial small subunit ribosomal RNA", at positions 28 to 507 of the family's 1533-position model. The record is from RNAcentral.
GAUGAACGCUGGCGGCAUGCCUAACACAUGCAAGUCGAUCGGUAAGGCUCUUCGGAGUACACGAGAGGCGGACGGCGGAGUAACGCGUAGGAACACACCCUGCAGUGAGGGAUAAGACACCGAAAGGUGUUCUAAUACCGCAUACGGUCUUCGGAUUAAAGCAUUUAUGCGCUGAAGGAGUGGCCUGCGUCAUAUUAGAUAGUUGGGGAGGUAAUGGCUCACCAAGUCGAUGAUGUGUAGCUGGUCUGAGAGGAUGAUCAGCCAGACUGGAACUGAGACACGGUCCAGACUCCUACGGGAGGCAGCAGUGAGGAAUAUUUCACAAUGAGCGAAAGCUUGAUGGAGCAAUGCCGCGUGCAGGAUGAAGGCCCUCGGGUUGUAAACUGCUUUUAUAAGAGAAGAUUAUGACGGUAACUUAUGAAUAAGGGACGGCUAACUACGUG